AAUUGUCUUGACGUUUCUGUUAUUCAGACCUGAUAAGAAAUGUCAAAGAAGAUAGAGAAAUUCCAGAACGAAUCUAUUCGUGGUAAAGAUGUGCGCACAUUAGGAGGUAUUGGAGAAAAACACGGCGAGAAGUUAGAAAAGAAAGGUUAUCGGAAAGCUGCCGAUGUCGUUAAAGAGUUCUUGCGCAACGGAAAAUCUGAAAAAAAAUUCAAAGAAUUUCUGGAAAAAAAAGUCCCUGGUGCCAAUAGAAAACAUAUUAGAGAUUGUUACGAGUCAGUGAGGGGUUGGUGCAAGAAUCAUAAAGAUGAAAAAAAAAAAUUACAGGACAAACUUUAUAGGGCAGAGGAUUGAAAGUCGUGAUUUCUCUUGCCGAUUCUGCAUCUGGAAUGAUGAACAUUUUGGCGACAUCGAAGUCAUAUUUCUGGCGUUCUAUUUCAUAACCACAUUGUCAGAUGUAUGGGAAUUCUUCACUAAAACACGUUUAUCUACCAUUUUUCAUAUUAUAUGUUCGUAGAGACAAUUUGAUAGAACACAUGAAACUUGUUUCGAGGAAACGUAUUCCAGUGCAUGGACUUACAUAUUGACAUUUAAUUCUUUUAUGAUACAUCUGUUAAAUACUAUACAUGUUUAUAUGUUUCAUAUAUGUUUUAUAGACAUAUCAUUGGGUUUAUAUAUAGGUAAAGAAGGAAAAUUCUAACUAGCGGAGAAAAUUUUCUUAAACUUUGCAUGAUCAUAGAACAUCAUAUUAGGAACAAUUUAAUGUAAAAAUAAUUGGGGAAACGGUGCUACCUUUUGAGUGUUCUGCCCCUGAAUGCGAGAUUUUUGCUCUUUUUGGUCAUUUUUAAGGGCAGAUAACUCAAAAUCUAGUAUACGGAUACCACAUUUCAUUCCAUAUUAUUUUUUUGUUAUUACAUUUCCAGUUAUUUUGCAAAUUUUUUAACCAUUCUGUCAAACAUAAUUUUUGCUGUGUUUCAAUGUGUAAACAUACUACAUUUUUCUUGAAAAAGGGGGCAUAAUUUGAAGAAUUUUUCUAUUUGUUUGCGUAAGCGACUAUAGUAUGAAUUCCGUCACAUAGAAUUUCUGAAACUUUUGUACAGUUGCAGAAAAAUAAAGUAACAAACACUAUUUGGAAAUCAAUUAAAGUGUUACUAUUCAUUAUUUUGAGUUAUCUGCCCUUGAAAAUGAUCUAAAAUAGCAAAAAAACUCGCAUGCAGGGGCAGAUAACUCAAAAGGUAGCACCUGGAACCCCUAUUUUUUUUGCAUAAUUCUUUUUCUGAUAUGAUUUUUUUUAUAAUCAUGCAAAGUUUAAAGCUGCUUUCCACAGUCUAAUUAAAUUUGGUGAUAGAAAAAAAUAAUUCUACUUGUACGUGGUCGAAUAAUUCUGGUUUCAAUAGUGAAACAUUGAUAAUUGUUAAUUUCGGCGUAUUUUCAAAGAUUUCAGUGGUAAACUACUUAAUGUCGUCGACGACACUUAGCAGUUAUAAAAAUAGCAAAGCAAUAACUAGCUUUGGCUUUUAUUUAUAGAUUUAAAAGGUUACUAGAAUAAACCACUUCAGUAGAGGGGUACCCUACAUCUUUAUAACUUAUUUUUAUAAUGAAUAUUUAAAUGACUGCCUCUUUCGAUAAUAAGACGCCGUGGCGCAGUGGUAAGCGUGGCGGCUCUAGAAUCUUACUUUUGUGAGUUCGAAUUCCAACGGAGAUCAAUAUGUUUUCAUUUCAUAUUUUUUUCAUUUUAUAUUUUGCUAACAUACACUUUAAAAUGAUGAUAAUGUUAAAUAAAUAUGUGCUUGAAAUGCA
Molecule: long non-coding RNA, 1797 nt
Organism: Mercenaria mercenaria
Lineage: Eukaryota; Metazoa; Mollusca; Bivalvia; Venerida; Veneridae
Exons: 3
Source: RefSeq, a predicted model, not a curated record